RNAcentral lists this non-coding RNA (30 nucleotides) under Homo sapiens (human). Lineage: Eukaryota; Metazoa; Chordata; Mammalia; Primates; Hominidae. The record is from RNAcentral.
UCUGGGUCCUCUUCAGGUUUGAGUGCUUGU